Molecule: non-coding RNA, 135 nt
Organism: Triticum aestivum (bread wheat)
Lineage: Eukaryota; Viridiplantae; Streptophyta; Magnoliopsida; Poales; Poaceae
Source: Rfam
GUAAUACUCUCUUCAUCCGAAAAUAUUUGUCAUCAAAAAGAAUAAAAAUGAAUGUAUCUAGACGUAUUUUAGUUCUAGAUACUUCCCUUUUCAUCCAUUUUGAUGACAAGUAUUUUCGGACGAAGGGAAUACAUG